GCCGGCUGUACAGAGGUUUUGAGGCCAAACUUUCUACAUGGGAUUGGGAGAGGAGAGGCAAAAGCUCAAAGUGACGCGCGUGGAAUCCUUUUAUAUUGGCCGAGGAGGGAGAUCGGGCGCGGAUGUCGACGGCCGGCAUUCGGGGCGCCUCUUUUGGAAACUGCGAUUAUGAGAGGAAACUUCAAAUUGAUUGCCUGAAUCGGUUUCCGGGAUGGUGAGGAUUGAUGGGGUGGUUUUCUUUCGAAGAAAGACACGCGGGAAGGAAAGAAAUCGAAGGAAGAAAAUAUGGAAGGAGUGGUUUCCUUACGUGCAGAGGAGUAAGAACAAGCACGAGCUCGUGCUCGGCUGGGCUGGGCUGGGGCGUUCGGUGGAGAUGGGCCGGCCCAGUUGGGUCGGUCCAUUCUUUUUUUUUCUUUUCUUUUUUUCCAUUUCUGUUUUCUAUUAAUAACUUUUGAUUCGUAACUCCAAAUAAGUCCAAAUAAACUCCAGUAAAUUUGUAAAUUCAAAUCCUCCAAAGUGUGAAAUUUUGGGACAUCAAUCCUCUCAAAAUAAAAUAAGUAAAAAUACUUUUGCUUAUGUAAAUGUCAUUAGGCCUUUAUAAGUACUAAAUAAAAUAGACUUUGAAAUCUAUUAUGAAACUUUGUUUCAUAAAUUUGCUUAAACUCCAAUAAACAUAUUGGGUUGGCAUACUUUGCACUAAAGCCCAUCCUUAGCUAAAUACCCCAUUGGGUUGGACUCCAAAUAAAAUCUUAUAAUAUUUAUAUGGUUCAAUAAAUUCCCAAAUAGCUUUAUAACACCAAUUCACAAACCAUGUAAACCAUCGCAGAUGUUUCCAACUAUAUAUAUAUCUGGGAAGUCACGUUAUCCCACUCUCAACGACGGAAUAAAUAUUGGAAUAACAUUUGCACAUGAGGAUGUCACGUUAUCCUCUUCUCGAAUAUUUGAUAGUUCCCUCUUGGAAACGAAAUGAACACGACAAAAUAA
RNAcentral lists this long non-coding RNA (984 nucleotides) under Brachypodium distachyon (stiff brome). Its description in RNAcentral is "long non-coding RNA (BDIS_LNC002989)". The record is from RNAcentral. Lineage: Eukaryota; Viridiplantae; Streptophyta; Magnoliopsida; Poales; Poaceae.